UACGUAGGGUGCGAGCGUUGUCCGGAAUUAUUGGGCGUAAAGAGCUCGUAGGCGGUUUGUCGCGUCUGCUGUGAAAUCCCGGGGCUUAACCCCGGGCGUGCAGUGGAUACGGGCAGGCUGGAGGCAGGCAGGGGAGAAUGGAAUUCCCGGUGUAGCGGUGAAAUGCGCAGAUAUCGGGAGGAACACCGGUGGCGAAGGCGGUUCUCUGGGCCUGUUCUGACGCUGAGGAGCGAAAGCGUGGGGAGCGAACAGG
RNAcentral lists this ribosomal RNA (253 nucleotides) under uncultured bacterium. RNAcentral describes it as "partial 16S ribosomal RNA". It matches the Rfam family "Bacterial small subunit ribosomal RNA", at positions 524 to 776 of the family's 1533-position model. The record is from RNAcentral.